GACGAACGCUGGCGGCGCGCCUAACACAUGCAAGUCGAACGGAGCUGAGAGAAGCUUGCUUUUCUUAGCUUAGUGGCGAACGGGUGAGUAACGCGUGAGUAACCUGCCCUGGAGUGGGGGACAACAGUUGGAAACGACUGCUAAUACCGCAUAAGCCCACGAUCCGGCAUCGGAUUGAGGGAAAAGGAUUUAUUCGCUUCAGGAUGGACUCGCGUCCAAUUAGCUAGUUGGUGAGGUAACGGCCCACCAAGGCGACGAUUGGUAGCCGGACUGAGAGGUUGGACGGCCACAUUGGGACUGAGACACGGCCCAGACUCCUACGGGAAGCAGCAGUGGGGGAUAUUGCACAAUGGGGGAAACCCUGAUGCAGCGACGCCGCGUGGAGGAAGAAGGUUUUCGGAUUGUAAACUCCUGUCGUUAGGGACGAUAAUGACGGUACCUAACAAGAAAGCACCGGCUAACUACGUG
Molecule: ribosomal RNA, 468 nt
Filed under: uncultured bacterium
Lineage: Bacteria
Description: partial 16S ribosomal RNA
Rfam family: Bacterial small subunit ribosomal RNA
Source: RNAcentral